AAAGAUGCUGACAUGGCUAAAAGAUCCUGUCCUUGGGGCUGGUCUCACCUCAAUGGUCGUUGCUUUAAGUACUUUUCAACAUGCAGAACUUGAACUCAAGCUGAGAGAGACUGUGUGUCCAUGCAGGCAAACCUUGCAUCCGUCCAUAAUUAUGAGGAAUCCGUUUAUAUUAAUGGCCUGAUAUCAGCUUCAGGUGAUGGGUAUGCAGAAGUAUGGAUCGGAGCCACUGAUGCGCAGGAGGACAACAUUUGGUUCUAGAGUGAUGGCAGCAAAUUCCAGGAUGCAAACUGGUGUAACAAGCAACCAGAUGACUUGUAUUGAAAACAGCACUGUGUGAUAAUGAAUCAUGGAGCAUCCUCCUGCUGGGGUGAAAGGAGGUGUUCAUUGAAUCUACCCUACGUAUGCGUCAAAAGAGACUGCUGACUUCAUUCCUCCUGAAGAAGUGAAAAACAAUGAUCAGAGGGCAUUUCCUGG
Long non-coding RNA from Cyprinodon tularosa, 474 nucleotides. RefSeq lists it as uncharacterized. NCBI's taxonomy places the organism in Eukaryota, Metazoa, Chordata, Actinopteri, Cyprinodontiformes, Cyprinodontidae. The transcript has 4 exons. The record is from RefSeq and is a predicted model, not a curated record.